This 1506-nucleotide long non-coding RNA is filed under the name Rhinopithecus bieti (black snub-nosed monkey). RNAcentral describes it as "lncRNA (ENSRBIG00000045321.1)". The record is from RNAcentral. Lineage: Eukaryota; Metazoa; Chordata; Mammalia; Primates; Cercopithecidae.
CUGCCUUCUAAGAGUUCAGUUGGAGCCAAUGUCUUUCUUUUGAACAUCUUGUGCCAGGAUUUGAAAUUAAGCUCCAGUUCAUCCGUACACCCCGCGGCCGCUUUCGCAAGGGGCCGAGGGGGUGGCGGCCUCGCCCGGGGACUCGCGGCGCUGGGAGCUGCCUGCCCUCGGUGCGGGCUGCAGACCGGGCCGCGAGGCGGGCCGGGCGCGGGCGCGCAACAGGACCAGCGGGCUCCAGGCCCGGGUGGGGCCGCGCCGCCGACCCCCGGGCGGGGCGCGGGCGCCAGGAGCCCGGGGUUCCGGGCCGCGAUCUGCUGCAGCUCGGCCGGGAGACGGCGCGACCCGGCGGCGGGGCCACCCGCGAGUCCAGCGUCGCCGCAGCCCCCCAAUGCGGCCGCGAGAAGCAGCGGGGGGGCAGGCGAUCGAAGGGCUGUGGUUCUGGGCCUUACUCUGGCCUUCUCUGAUGCCCCUGGGAAGAGCACAACUCUACAUAAACUGGGGCAGAUUGAAGAAUUAGUCCAUUGGGAAUUAUUGCCAGUAUGGAUCCAGAAGAAAGGCUAUUGUUUUGUUCUCCCAUCUCACCAACAAGGAGGUAAAAGAUUGCUCACUUCUCUCACAAGCCUUGCCAUCCACUUCCCAUUUCCAAAUACAUAGAAAUCAAAACAUUCAGUGUUGGGACUUACCCCAUGGCAAUGCAGCCGUCCUGCAAACACAUGGGUUGGAUUCCUGAAACGUGCCUGGGAAAGUGAGCUAGCAUAAUGCUAUGGAUAUUCGUCUUCUGGUGGUUGGUGUCCCCUGAAUGCACGUGAGUGGAUUAGCAAUGCACAUGACUACUUGGUUUGUAUAUUCUCUGACUGAGUGACCCAGUUCCUGGCCCAGGAACAGGAUGAGCAAAGCUUGCUGGGUACCGUCAGGGAACCCUUCCAGCUGGGGCAUGGGGGCACCUGCCUUCCUAGUCCAGGUUGCAAACCAGUGUCAGAGCAAGGUGAGGAGGAGAGUCCCUGCUGUCCGUUAGGCUCUAGUCAUUUCCUUUGUAGCUGUGUAGAUAAAUAGAAGUAAGGGCAAAUCCUAUGGGCUUGAUAUUAGAGCCUGUUUCAUGGCGUUACAUCUGUCUUUGGAAGCAGCCACUGUGUGUGAGCCUCUGACUUUUCCUCCAAUUGCUAACCAUCUUGAAUAUUUUAGAAACCCUCUUAUGUGUUAAUAUGCCCAGUGAGACAAGAAUCAUGAUUUCUCCUUCACCAGUGACCAAACAGAGCUGCGGAGUUGUCACGGGAUGUAGUGAAAAAUCACACACUUGUAACCGAGCCAGCCUGUGCCAGAAGCCCAGCCCCGACUCGGUCCUACUGUUGUCUCUCAGAUGGGGAAGUGGCUCUAUCUAUAAAACGUGUGGUUGCUAUGAAUUACCGGUGUUGGUAAGGAGAAUUGGAAGCAUUCUCUUUUCUAGAUUACCUUUCAAAUAUUCAAAUUCAUGCACCAGUAGCAUAUGGCUAGAACUUUUAUUUUUUC